Gossypium arboreum is the source of this 313-nucleotide long non-coding RNA. RefSeq lists it as uncharacterized. The transcript has 3 exons. Lineage: Eukaryota; Viridiplantae; Streptophyta; Magnoliopsida; Malvales; Malvaceae. The record is from RefSeq and is a predicted model, not a curated record.
AUAUGAAGUUUUAUUAAAAGAAAAAGGGGUGAAAAGAACAAAGUUUUGUCCAUAUUUGUUCAUCAUAGCUGAAAGUUAGAGAAGAGAAAGGAGAGGAGAAAGCUCUUGAGUAUUCGGUCAUUAGGAGGAGGAAAAUUGAAGGCGGUUCGCGUGUGGAUCUCGUCAGCAUAUCGUCGCAAACAGGAAAUCCCCAACCAUAGUGGGCUUGGAGCUGUGAGGGAAUUCGGUGUGGCCACCCGUUCUGAAAGUUUGAUUUUCUUCUGGUGAACUGGACAUCCUUUUAAUUACGUUUGAGGUUUUGGGCUUUUAAAUU